RNAcentral lists this ribosomal RNA (465 nucleotides) under uncultured Klebsiella sp. RNAcentral's name for it is "bacterial SSU rRNA". It matches the Rfam family "Bacterial small subunit ribosomal RNA", at positions 338 to 795 of the family's 1533-position model. Lineage: Bacteria; Pseudomonadati; Pseudomonadota; Gammaproteobacteria; Enterobacterales; Enterobacteriaceae. The record is from RNAcentral.
CCUACGGGCGGCUGCAGUGGGGAAUAUUGCACAAUGGGCGCAAGCCUGAUGCAGCCAUGCCGCGUGUGUGAAGAAGGCCUUCGGGUUGUAAAGCACUUUCAGCGGGGAGGAAGGCGGUGAGGUUAAUAACCUCAUCGAUUGACGUUACCCGCAGAAGAAGCACCGGCUAACCCCGUGCCAGCAGCCGCGGUAAUACGGAGGGUGCAAGCGUUAAUCGGAAUUACUGGGCGUAAAGCGCACGCAGGCGGUCUGUCAAGUCGGAUGUGAAAUCCCCGGGCUCAACCUGGGAACUGCAUUCGAAACUGGCAGGCUAGAGUCUUGUAGAGGGGGGUAGAAUUCCAGGUGUAGCGGUGAAAUGCGUAGAGAUCUGGAGGAAUACCGGUGGCGAAGGCGGCCCCCUGGACAAAGACUGACGCUCAGGUGCGAAAGCGUGGGGAGCAAACAGGAUUAGAUACCCGUGUAGUC